AGGUUGUUCGACGUAACGCGUGCAUCGACUCGUCCUCCGCGGAUCUUUCUAAACGCUGGCGCCUUGGUUCGAAGCAAAUUUUCGGUCGGUGUCGCCCGUUUGAGCCGACGGGGAACCGAGAAGGACAAGAAGAGUAGCGGACUUGGAUCGAGAGCUCUGCGACAGAGGCCGGCCCGAGAGAGAUGCAGGACGGGCAGUUCCGGCCUUUUACAUCUUCUCCAUCGAGCUCUAUAGAGCUGAACUCGUUACCUACCCUGUCAUAAUUACUCGACUUAAUAUGAACGAAGAUGCUAUGUAAAAUUGGAUAGCAUUAAAUCUCUGAACUAUAUCUUUGUUCAUUAUUUUAUAACAAUAUUUUACAAACUCCAGCGCGUUCCUUCUUGAUAAUAAAAAAGGAACAGUACGAGGGAAAUGAAAAGAAAGACGGUUUAUAAAAAUAGGGGAAUAAAAUGUAGCGAAGAGAAUAAAUGUCGAAUGGAUGGUCUAAGUAAUGUCUGUAAGAUCGCGCAACGUUUCAUCGGAAAUGAGAGAUUACGCAGUUAGAAAAUACAUAUAAGCGAUUGAUCGAUAACCUAUUUUUUCUUGUAGCUGGCGGAGUGCCAGAAUUUCAAGUAAAUGCGCUGAGCCCGAUGGAAAUGCAAAUGGCGUAACCUCGUCCUGGGUUGAGAGUCGAGAGUUUUAUAUCUUUAUAAUUACCGGAGGAAACGAACCGCUCGACGAGCGACGACGAUAAAGAAACGAAACGUUCUUUUCUCAAUUGUAUUGUAGAAAUACGUCUGUACAAAAGAAAGACUAUUCAUGAA
Molecule: long non-coding RNA, 803 nt
Organism: Ceratina calcarata
Lineage: Eukaryota; Metazoa; Arthropoda; Insecta; Hymenoptera; Apidae
Exons: 2
Source: RefSeq, a predicted model, not a curated record